This 253-nucleotide ribosomal RNA is filed under the name uncultured bacterium. Its description in RNAcentral is "partial 16S ribosomal RNA". It matches the Rfam family "Bacterial small subunit ribosomal RNA", at positions 524 to 776 of the family's 1533-position model. The record is from RNAcentral.
UACGUAGGGUGCGAGCGUUAAUCGGAAUUACUGGGCGUAAAGCGUGCGUAGGCGGUUCGUUAAGUUCGUUGUGAAAGCCCCGGGCUCAACCUGGGAAUGGCAAUGGAAACUGGCGGGCUGGAGUAUGGCAGAGGGGGGUGGAAUUCCGCGUGUAGCAGUGAAAUGCGCAGAUAUCGGGAGGAACACCGGUGGCGAAGGCGGUUCUCUGGGCCUUACCUGACGCUGAGGAGCGAAAGCGUGGGGAGCGAACAGG